AUUUCCCCCCUGAAGGAAAUGAACCAGGUAUCCUAGGACCUGUGAUUAAGAGCUGUAGCCCAUCCCAUCCCCUCUACCUGUGACAAAAUGUGGCAAGAGAACCUUCCCUGCACCCCACCUAAGAAUUUAACAUCUGCCAUUUUCAUCCUUUAAGCAGAUGGAGUUCAGUAUUCUCUCCUGGCAUUGCCGGUCCAGUCCCCUGCUGUCCUGGCCAGGACCCCCUGCUCUGGCAAUAAAGGGGAGCAGCUCUCCUUGAUGGAAAUGAGAAGCCCCCACCCUUUAUCUUGAGCAGAAAGAAGAAAGGUGCCUAAGACCGCUGGUGGCAACUGGGAGACACUUGUAGGCCCUGUCCCCUGCAGCCACUCUCAGGCCACCUUCCCCCACCCCCUCCGCCCUGGUCUUCCCGCUUCUCAGUGCUGGCUCUUGCCAUCCCUGCUCAAUAC
RNAcentral lists this long non-coding RNA (443 nucleotides) under Marmota monax (woodchuck). The record is from RNAcentral. Lineage: Eukaryota; Metazoa; Chordata; Mammalia; Rodentia; Sciuridae.